RNAcentral lists this ribosomal RNA (372 nucleotides) under Triticum aestivum (bread wheat). RNAcentral's name for it is "partial small subunit ribosomal RNA". The record is from RNAcentral. Lineage: Eukaryota; Viridiplantae; Streptophyta; Magnoliopsida; Poales; Poaceae.
AUGCUUAUUAUGGAUUCUGAGGAAGCUGGUUCAAAGAAGGAAAGAAAUGAGGAAUAUUCCAUAAACCGUCUCCCGAGAGAGCUCAUCGAGCGGAUAUUUUUUCGGCUUCCGGUGAGCACUUUAUUGGUGUGUAUUGGUGUUUGUACGUGCUGGAAAAACUUGAUCCGGGAUCCCAAUUUUGUCACAUCACACCUGAAGCAUGCAUCCCAUUAUUCCCUCAUAUUCUUCCAACAAGAUUAUGUUGCAGGAAAACAUUACCCGAGUGAUGCUAUUCUAAUUGAUAAAGCUUGGUCACAAUCAACAUAUGCAGUGCCAACCAUUGACCCUGAUGAUUUACUCUGUGGUUCAUGUAAUGGGAUUAUUUGCUUAUAG